Molecule: ribosomal RNA, 253 nt
Filed under: uncultured bacterium
Lineage: Bacteria
Description: partial 16S ribosomal RNA
Rfam family: Bacterial small subunit ribosomal RNA
Source: RNAcentral
UACGAAGGGGGCUAGCGUUGUUCGGAAUUACUGGGCGUAAAGCGCACGUAGGCGGACUACUAAGUCAGGGGUGAAAUCCCGGGGCUCAACCCCGGAACUGCCUUUGAUACUGAUAGUCUCGAGUCCGGAAGAGGUGAGUGGAAUUCCGAGUGUAGAGGUGAAAUUCGUAGAUAUUCGGAGGAACACCAGUGGCGAAGGCGGCUCACUGGUCCGGUACUGACGCUGAGGUGCGAAAGCGUGGGUAGCAAACGGG